This 1715-nucleotide long non-coding RNA is filed under the name Monomorium pharaonis (pharaoh ant). Its description in RNAcentral is "uncharacterized LOC118647653". Lineage: Eukaryota; Metazoa; Arthropoda; Insecta; Hymenoptera; Formicidae. The record is from RNAcentral.
CACAAUGCAGUUUUAGGUUAUAAUGACAUAGCAAAGUCGAGCUUUGACAAUGUAUUAAGGAUGCUUUACAAUACAUGGAGUAAUCAUGGAGUAAGGUGUAAGAGUAGGAGUGACGACUUUGCUGUAAAAUGCUUACAACAGUCUUGUCUAGAACGGUAAAGUAAGCAUAGAAAUACGGUCAAUUAGUAAUGUUAAGGAUAGGAAACAAACUGUUGUGAUUAGCUGAGCGUAACAGCAUAAGAGUAAAAGUUAGAUUAGGACAUAAGAGUAGGAAAUAAAAUUAAUUUAUUUUGCCUACGCCAUUACGCCAGCUCUCUUACAAUGGAAUGAUGACAUUCUUAUGCCUGCUUAAAUCUACUCUUCUUAUUCCACACUUUUUUCAUGUAUUGUAAACAACACUUACGUAGUGAUUCAUUAUAGAUAGUACAAUUUAUGUUCUUCUGUGGAUAAAGGAGAAAGUGCAAAAAUUGUUAUUUUCUUAAUAGGAAUCUGUGAAAUGUUUUGUUACCUUAUUUGAGAUUAAAAUAAGAACGAAAUAAUAUUUAUUUAUCUUGCAGGAAAUAAUUUAGAAACUGCAGGAAAUAUUAGAAUUGAUAAUCAAUGUUUUUAAAAUGUCUGUCAACAUAGCUCUUCGAAAUGGUUUGAUAAAAGAUAAAAAGUUUUCAAAUAAACUACAUUUCAAUUUAAUAAAUUCUAUACCAUAAAAUUGUAAAGAAAUGCUGUAUGUUUAAUAUAAUCACAUGUACAAUUGUUUGUAAGUACAUACCAUAUAUUUAAUAUUCAUAUAUAUUUUUUUUACAAAUAAUAUCCAUUUUAAAUAUUGAUUCUUACUACCCAUACACACACACACACACACGCGCGCGCGCGCGCACGAGUGCAUAUACACAAAUGUAUUUGUGUAAAGUAAAUGUUGCAUAUGUAAUAUAAUAAUGUUCAUAAAUGCAAAUAGUUUUAUUGAAUAACAAUCUAACAUCUGCGAUGUAUAAACUUCCUAGUGUCAAGUGCAAACUUUUAAGUUGUGUAUUACACAAACUUUCAUUAAAGUAUCCAAAGACACUGUAAAAUUAAUUCACAGUUAGUAAGGUAGCAAAAUAUGUUUCACAGGUUUCCUAUUAAGGGAUAACGCCGCCUCUAAAACGAUACUCAAGUUCAGGAAUUUUGUGGGCAAAUGAAGUUUUAUUGAAAAAGCAAAUAUAAACCAUUUUAUUAUAUUAAAUUAUUUAAAAAAAAUUUUAUUGUUUAAAAUAGUGGCGCGUACUGCAUACUUCUGCAUUUUUUUUGAAGAUAUUAUUUUGCAUGCAAGAUUUCUCUAAGAUGGUUUACCUUAGAACAAAAAUUCACAACCUCUUAUUUUCUAUUGAAGUUACAAAAUACGUAGCCGUUUUAAAAAUAUCAAUUUUUUAAAAUAAUAGCUAAUUAGUUCUGCAGGAUCAAAAACACCUACAGCAUCUCCUUAUGCAUACUUAACACAAAUGCGAUGUUUUAAUGAUGACUCUUUAUUUUUUGUUAAUGACUCUACUUUCGAAUUUUUUAUUGAGAUUGAAAAAGUUUUUAGAUUAUAUUAUAAACAAGUUUACAUGUUAUCUUUAAAUUUAAAGGAAUUCUUUAUUAAAAAAUGUAUUAAUAUAUCUUUUCAGUUUCCGUUUUGUCAUAUUUCCUACAAGAUAAAUAAAAAAAAAUUAUAGAAAAAUUUAUUAUUUUCAGGUUGAAAAAAA